CAAGUCCUAAAUCUGGAAACGGGUGGUUUUAAUUGUUUUAUUUAGUUGCAUAAGCAGGCAAUAUAAGUACCUUUUCGAGAAAGAAAAUCUGCAUGUAUCGGUAUGCAAUAGAUAAAUCUAGAUAUAUCUUCCAAACAAACUCACAUGAAUACGAGGAAACUAUGAACAAACCCACCAUAUCCUGAAACAUCACAAAGGAAGCUGGACCUGUAAGCAUGAUUUUCACCAUACUAAUGUAUAAUGCUUCAAAGCUUCAGGUGACUUGGUCUACCACUAUUCUUGUCAUUUCUUCUAGGUUUCUCAUAAUGAUGGAGAGCCUCUCCCUGAUCCAUAUGAGUAUCGUAGUAUAAUUGGGGCCUUUAAGUAUUUUACUCUCACUCAAGUUUAUGAAUGUAACGUGCUAGUUUAUACAUUAGCCUACUUUCUCCUGUUUCCAUAUUGUAAUAAAUAUUCUUCAGUUUGUGAAAGGAACUCAAUUCCCAUUGUCUCCACAUUCUUGCAAGUUCCUCUCUCCUUAACACCGGGUCAACGGUUCGAGUACCCAUAGGUGGUGAAAUUCCACUACGGCAUGCGUGUAUGGGGUGCGUAUG
Molecule: long non-coding RNA, 590 nt
Organism: Magnolia sinica
Lineage: Eukaryota; Viridiplantae; Streptophyta; Magnoliopsida; Magnoliales; Magnoliaceae
Exons: 3
Source: RefSeq, a predicted model, not a curated record